GGCCCCGCACAAGCGGCGGAGCAUGCGGAUUAAUUCGAUGCAACGCGAAGAACCUUACCUGGGUUUGACAUAUACCGGAAACGUCUAGAGAUAGGCGCCCCCUUGUGGUCGGUAUACAGGUGGUGCAUGGCUGUCGUCAGCUCGUGUCGUGAGAUGUUGGGUUAAGUCCCGCAACGAGCGCAACCCUCGUCUUAUGUUGCCAGCGGGUAAUGCCGGGGACUCAUAAGAGACCGCCGGGGUCAACUCGGAGGAAGGUGGGGAUGACGUCAAGUCUUCAUGCCCCUUAUGUCCAGGGCUUCACGCAUGCUACAAUGGCCGGUACAGAGGGCUGCAAUCCCGCAAGGGGGAGCGAAUCCCAAAAAGCCGGUCUCAGUUCGGAUUGGGGUCUGCAACUCGACCCCAUGAAGUCGGAGUCGCUAGUAAUCGCAGAUCAGCAACGCUGCGGUGAAUACGUUCCCGGGGCUU
Molecule: ribosomal RNA, 465 nt
Filed under: uncultured bacterium
Lineage: Bacteria
Description: bacterial SSU rRNA
Rfam family: Bacterial small subunit ribosomal RNA
Source: RNAcentral